UGCCAGCAGCCGCGGUAAUACGAAGGGUGCUAGCGUUGUUCGGAAUUACUGGGCGUAAAGCGCACGUAGGCGGCAAUGUAAGUUAAAGCAGAAAUCCCAGAGCUUAACUCUGGAAAUUGUUUUAAAACUAUCUAACUUGAGUAAGGAAGAGAGGGUAAGUAGAAUUUUUAAAGAAGGGCUAAAAUCCGUAGAUCUUAAAAGGAAUACCAAAGGCGAAGGCAGCUACCUGGAACUUUACUGACGUUAUAGGACGAAAGCAUGGGGAGCAAACAGGAUUAGAUA
RNAcentral lists this ribosomal RNA (282 nucleotides) under uncultured bacterium. RNAcentral's name for it is "partial 16S ribosomal RNA". It matches the Rfam family "Bacterial small subunit ribosomal RNA", at positions 506 to 784 of the family's 1533-position model. The record is from RNAcentral.